RNAcentral lists this ribosomal RNA (254 nucleotides) under uncultured bacterium. RNAcentral's name for it is "partial 16S ribosomal RNA". It matches the Rfam family "Bacterial small subunit ribosomal RNA", at positions 524 to 776 of the family's 1533-position model. The record is from RNAcentral.
UACGGGGGGAGCAAGCGUUGUUCGGAUUUACUGGGCGUAAAGGGCGCGUAGGCGGUCAGCACAAGUCAGUUGUGAAAUCUCCGGGCUUAACUCGGAACGGUCAACUGAUACUGUGCGACUAGAGUGCAGAAGGGGCAACUGGAAUUCUCGGUGUAGCGGUGAAAUGCGUAGAUAUCGGGAGGAACACCAGCGGCGAAGGCGGCACUCUGGGCUGGUACUGACGCUGAGGAGCGAAAGCGUGGGUAGCAAACAGG